Molecule: long non-coding RNA, 427 nt
Organism: Xiphophorus hellerii (green swordtail)
Lineage: Eukaryota; Metazoa; Chordata; Actinopteri; Cyprinodontiformes; Poeciliidae
Exons: 5
Source: RefSeq, a predicted model, not a curated record
AGAAAAUAAUGGAGGUUCAAUUUUGAUUGGAUCAGAGGAGGAAGAGGAGCUUCUGUUCCAGAAAUCAACCUUUUCAGAAGGAAACGUAAAGUUUUUCAGAAUGUCUUGGCACUGAAGUAGAACAUCAUCCCCUCAGCUUGGCCCCUGGAGCAGUGAUCAUCUUGGAUGUGGCUCAAGGCUUCUUCCUCUAAGAGUCCAAACAUGAAAGGAGUAUGUCACAGAAAUACGUCACUGAGACACGGCACUCCACCUAAGGUGAAGCAGUGACGAGAGAAGCAGUCAAUGAACCUUUGGAGAUACAGGACCUUCAAAUCUUCUACAUCAUCCAACGCCUAUGGCCAACAGAUAUUGCCAAGCAGACUCUAAUGGUGGGACCAGUUUGUUUUACCAUCCAGCUACAUGAAACAUCACCUGAGUGCAGAAGAUG